CAGGAUGAACGCCGGCGGUGUGCCUAAUACAUGCAAGUCGUACGCACUGCCCCAACUGAUUGAUGGUGCUUGCACCUGAUUGACGAUGGAUCACCAGUGAGUGGCGGACGGGUGAGUAACACGUAGGUAACCUGCCUCGGAGCGGGGGAUAACAUUUGGAAACAGAUGCUAAUACCGCAUAACAACAAAAGCCACAUGGCUUUUGUUUGAAAGAUGGCUUUGGCUAUCACUCUGGGAUGGACCUGCGGUGCAUUAGCUAGUUGGUAAGGUAACGGCUUACCAAGGCAAUGAUGCAUAGCCGAGUUGAGAGACUGAUCGGCCACAAUGGAACUGAGACACGGUCCAUACUCCUACGGGAGGCAGCAGUAGGGAAUCUUCCACAAUGGGCGCAAGCCUGAUGGAGCAACACCGCGUGAGUGAAGAAGGGUUUCGGCUCGUAAAGCUCUGUUGUUGGAGAAGAACGUGCGUGAGAGUAACUGUUCACGCAGUGACGGUAUCCAACCAGAAAGUCACGGCUAACUACGUGCCAGCAGCCGCGGUAAUACGUAGGUGGCAAGCGUUAUCCGGAUUUAUUGGGCGUAAAGCGAGCGCAGGCGGUUGCUUAGGUCUGAUGUGAAAGCCUUCGGCUUUACCGAAGAAGUGCAUCGGAAACCGGGCGACUUGAGUGCAGAAGAGGACAGUGGAACUCCAUGUGUAGCGGUGGAAUGCGUAGAUAUAUGGAAGAACACCAGUGGCGAAGGCGGCUGUCUGGUCUGCAACUGACGCUGAGGCUCGAAAGCAUGGGUAGCGAACAGGAUUAGAUACCCUGGUAGUCCAUGCCGUAAACGAUG
Molecule: ribosomal RNA, 830 nt
Filed under: uncultured bacterium
Lineage: Bacteria
Description: bacterial SSU rRNA
Rfam family: Bacterial small subunit ribosomal RNA
Source: RNAcentral